GGUGCUGUAGACUAAUUCGUUAGGCCGGUUCCACGGAAUGGAGGAGAUGCGGGUUCGAAUCCCACCGGCGUCC
This 73-nucleotide transfer RNA is filed under the name Acanthoscelides obtectus. RNAcentral describes it as "hypothetical protein". The record is from RNAcentral. Lineage: Eukaryota; Metazoa; Arthropoda; Insecta; Coleoptera; Chrysomelidae.